CAGCAGCCGCGGUAAUACGAACCGUGCGAACGUUAUUCGGAAUAACUGGGCUUAAAGCGCGUGUAGGCGGGCCGCCACGUCGGCUGCUGAAAUCCCCCGGCUCAACCGGGGAAGUGGCACCGAUACGAGCGGCCUCGAGGGGGGUAGGGGGCACUGGAACUUCCGGUGGAGCGGUGAAAUGCGUUGAGAUCGGAAGGAACGCCCGUGGCGAAAGCGAGUCCCUGGACCCUUACUGACGCUGAGACGCGAAAGCCAGGGGAGCGAACGGGAUUAGAUACCCCUGUAGUCCCUGUCUCUUAUA
This 301-nucleotide ribosomal RNA is filed under the name uncultured bacterium. RNAcentral's name for it is "partial 16S ribosomal RNA". It matches the Rfam family "Bacterial small subunit ribosomal RNA", at positions 509 to 807 of the family's 1533-position model. The record is from RNAcentral.